UAGGUGUAAAGACAGCGAUGUCAAAGCCGAGCAUUACUAAUUGCCCGAACACUUUCUUUA
This 60-nucleotide ribosomal RNA is filed under the name Segatella copri. RNAcentral's name for it is "Prevotella copri partial 23S ribosomal RNA". Lineage: Bacteria; Pseudomonadati; Bacteroidota; Bacteroidia; Bacteroidales; Prevotellaceae. The record is from RNAcentral.